Physeter macrocephalus (sperm whale) is the source of this 3122-nucleotide long non-coding RNA. RefSeq lists it as uncharacterized. The transcript has 6 exons. The record is from RefSeq and is a predicted model, not a curated record. NCBI's taxonomy places the organism in Eukaryota, Metazoa, Chordata, Mammalia, Artiodactyla, Physeteridae.
CCACCACGCGGGACAGUCCCCGCUGCCCGCCCGCCUGUCACGUACCAAAGCGCCCGCCGCCAAGCCGCUCCGCGCCCAGCCGAUCGGUUAUGGAUGAAAAAUUGAUCUCUCAAAGAUUCCCCAGAGAGCAAGAUAGACAUGAAAUACCCUGUUGACCAGAUGACAGACGGGCACCGAUUGACCUGACCUCGUCCACGUCUCCGUCCCUCACAUUACCAGAAAUCAGAAACAUCCCUGUGUUGCUGAACAACUCACCGGAGGAAUUUGAUUUUCACAAGCAAGAAGGUUUGUGGAAUUCUAGCCUCUGAAGGGAUUUCAGGGAAGGGCUGUAAAGUGAUGACGGCUCCACACCUUGGGAGGUCUUACCUUUCCUUGUGAUGGAGGAGGCGUGCGAGGUGUCACCUGCAAAGACACAGGAGAAUGUUCACCAGCGACCCCGAACUUACCCUCAAUUUCACACACUAACUGUCAUCCUUAAAAGAGCCAGCCUGCCUCUACGUUCAGAUUCUCCGCUGUUUCUUCUACCCCCGGGCCCCAGGUUCCAGGGACGUGGAAACCUGCUUCUUAAAGGCAACAACUCCGCCUUUCUUUCUUCCUGCCACAAAGGCGCGUGGUCUCGUGAAUGCACCUUUCAUUUACGGCUCUCGAAAGAAUAUGCCGCCUCAGGGAAUUUGUGAGCGCUUUGCUCGAAUGUCAAGUCCCGGCCGCACAGAGGGUGGGUGUGCUGGCGCACUCCCAGGGCAGGGGGCUCCGCCCUUGCUCACCCAGGGGCCACCCCACGUGCCCUCGGAGGAGGGGGGGCAGGCGACAAACAGCCCCUUUUCCGGGAGCCAAGCGCUCCCAUCAGUUUCACACGCUUCAAUCCAAAGGACCUUUCUAGCACCUAAUACAAUGAGGGCUCUCCUGAUUUAUAAACAGAGCAAAGCGAAAAUAAGAUCAAAACCAAAAAAUAAGCCCACACCCCAGGCUUCUAGGCCGUUGCGGGUAUGUCACUGGGUGUAGAGUGUAUUAUUAUGCUUAACACCUCCAGUGUUUAAAAGUGAACAAAGAAUCCACAGUAAGAUAGGUGAGCUGAGCAAGAUUGCCAGUAAGACCCACUGCAUAUUUUCAGCAAAGAUACUCGACAGGAAUGUAUCCCUAGCCUGUGUUUGUAAUAAGCAACUACGGAUGUGAUCUUGCAUUCGAACUCUAAUGGAUUUCUUUCUUUGGCGUCAAAGGGCAAGGCUGCUCAUUCGAAAAUCUUCUUCACUCAACAUCCAGUAGUGAACAGAAUUGAUACUUCAAAAGUUCUAAAUCAAUUAUUUAAACAUUAUUUUUAUGUUUAAAAAUCCCGUGAAAAUGUUUUGAUUUCUCUGAAUCCUUGAUAACCCAGCAAGACUAGUUUGUGAAGUGGAUGCCUACUUCUGAGGCUGGAAUCUGUUCUUUGAAAAUGUUGAAUAACAUCAGACUUGAUGCAGUCAAGGGUGCACUCUUACAGAAAGGAGGAAGACGUGUAUGUCUGAUAUAUAUUCACUUUGAGAUGCGCUCACAACAGGUGGCAUAAAGGCUUUCACGAUUUGAUUUUAACUUAACCCAUUACCACCGAAAUGAAGCUUGUUUUGUAAUAUACGCUAUCCAGCUGCUUAAUCUCUUCUGCACAGUUUAAAUAUGUUUUUCCUGUUCUGUGGGUUAAGCAGAAUAGUUUGAGGUUUCAAAACUGUCGGCGCUGCAUGCAUACGGGGUGCUUUGCAUAACAGCAAGACUUGAUUAGGCAGUCGGGGUCUGGUGUGGUCUGACAGCUGUGCUUGAUAAAGCGUCUCAAAUUGACAUCAGCGUUCGAGACAGGUCAGAGGACCCACCUUUCAGGGUGAGGGAAGACUGCCCCAAAGCACGGGACACUGACGAAGCCAAUCGGAAAGUGAGUUCUACAAGGACAAAAGGCACAGGGAGUUAUUCACAGGGAGUCCUGCCGGGUGUCACGUGACAGAUCUCAGCUCCCAGCCGGUCCCCGAAAGCUCAACGCUCCUUAACACCACACGAAAGGCGCAGCUGACAUCUGUGUUUCUCUCCAACAAUUUCAGGAUCGUCAGUAAUUUUAAGGACUGCAGUUAGAGACUAAAGCAAAUUCGAGAAACUCCUGAACUCCCAGUACCCCAGCGUUGAUGACGUUACAGGCCCACGAUGACGAGGGCCUCUGCUCCACACUCGACUCAGCGCCCCUCAGAACUUCCCAGAGGCCUUUCAGAGCGGGCACAGGGCACGGCCAGAAGCAAGGCUGCCUCUCAGGUGUCUCGUGAGCACACCCAAUAAAUCAGGGGCCUUUCUGAAACACCUCACCCCUUCCAGAACCACCCAGCUAUCCAACACUCUAAACAUCAGGUGCCGCGCAUGCGACGUAUCUGCUGUCGGAACGCCACUUGGGGAUUAGCUUUUCAGUGACGCAUCAGCCACAGAUGAUCUAUUCACAAUCUAGUCCAGAAGCCACCUUCACAAACCGGACCGCAAGAGGAGCAAUUUUCUCCUGUGGCACAUUUUUACCUACAGAACAUUUAAAUAAUGAAACUUCACAAAUUCUGCAUUCAAAUGAAUGGAAUAACAAACUAACACAGCUUUGAUUCCUAGACGCACUCAUGUAAUGCCUCACACUCAUUUAUUUCCCUGCACAGCUCAGACCAAAGAGAACGUCUGCUCAAGGCGCAUUUAAAUUUCGAGUUUGUUCCAAAGCCCUCAAUCACAUCAUUGUUGCAAAGCAACACGAAGCUGGCGGCACUGGGUCCAGGAAGACGUUGGCAACGGCCCGAUGCGGAGCCCCGAAGCGUGGGCAGAAGCCACGUCAGCCCUAAAGCCCCCAAGCAUAGGACACAAAAGACCACAGUGCCCACGUCCACACCACCCCGGAGACGUGAAUUCAGGACGCUCUCCGUUCCUGGACCACAUCCUGACCGCAUCCCUGGUGAGCAGGGGAGAGAGGGUGGAAAAAUCGAAAGCAGUGACCCAGGCCCCUCCCAGGAGCCCGUAAGCAUCUCCAGCAAGGACAACACGUUUCCCCAGACAGCACAGAGGCUGUACUCCCUCUAACGGCUGAGUUCACCUGCCGAUUCCCUUCCUCUUCCGCUUACACCACCGGGGAGGCACGACCUGCA